GACGAACGCUGGCGGCGUGCUUAACACAUGCAAGUCGAACGGAAAGGCCCUGCUUUUGUGGGGUGCUCGAGUGGCGAACGGGUGAGUAACACGUGAGUAACCUGCCCUUGACUUUGGGAUAACUUCAGGAAACUGGGGCUAAUACCGGAUAGGAGCUCCUGCUGCAUGGUGGGGGUUGGAAAGUUUCGGCGGUUGGGGAUGGACUCGCGGCUUAUCAGCUUGUUGGUGGGGUAGUGGCUUACCAAGGCUUUGACGGGUAGCCGGCCUGAGAGGGUGACCGGCCACAUGGGGAGUGGGAUAGGGCCCAAACGCCUAGGGGGGGGAGGGGGGGGAAAUUGUGCAAAAGGGGGGGAAGCCUGAUGCAACAACGCCGCAGGGGGGAGGACGGCCUUCGGGGUGUAAACCGCUUUCGCCUGUAACAAAGGGUGGGGGGGGGAAAUGGGUAAAAAAGCACCGGCUAACUACGG
This 467-nucleotide ribosomal RNA is filed under the name uncultured bacterium. Its description in RNAcentral is "partial 16S ribosomal RNA". It matches the Rfam family "Bacterial small subunit ribosomal RNA", at positions 28 to 506 of the family's 1533-position model. The record is from RNAcentral.